RNAcentral lists this unclassified non-coding RNA (305 nucleotides) under plant metagenome. RNAcentral describes it as "partial contains 5.8S ribosomal RNA, internal transcribed spacer 2, and large subunit ribosomal RNA". The stretch from base 1 to 105 matches the Rfam family "5.8S ribosomal RNA", at positions 50 to 154 of the family's 154-position model. The record is from RNAcentral.
GAAAUGCGAUAAGUAAUGUGAAUUGCAGAAUUCAGUGAAUCAUCGAAUCUUUGAACGCACAUUACGCCCGCCAGUAUUCUGGCGGGCAUGCCUGUUCGAGCGUCAUUUCAACCAUCAAGCCCCCGGCUUGUGUUGGGGACCUGCGGCUGCCCGCAGGCCCUGAAAAACAGUGGCGGGCUCGCUGUCACACCGAGCGUAGUAGCAUACAUUCUCGCUCAGGGCGUGCUGCGGGUUCCGGCCGUUAAACGACCUUCAUAACCCAAGGUUGACCUCGGAUCAGGUAGGAAUACCCGCUGAAGUUAAGC